AAAAGAAAUUUAAAAAUUAAAAAGAGGCUGGCUGGUUAAGGGCUGUUGAAAUAUUGCCGUGGUAGACCAGAUCGGAGGUCCUGGGUUAGAUUCCAAUGAAUAACAAACAAACAAACAAACAAACAAACAAGAAGCUGGCUAAGUAUUGUUCACUAAGGUUUACAUUGUUGUUAAAGGAAGACCGAAACUUAGCCGAUCCAGUGUGUGUAGAUGCAGAUGCUUGCCAGAGAGGGGAGCAAGGUGUCAGUUCCGUGUUGGUGGAGAGGAAGAAGUCGGCACUUGCUGUUUUGUUUCUCUUGCUUUUGCCUGAAGUCAGCUCCUAGAUUUCGGCUGUGCCCCAGGUUUACAGGACAUUCUAAACGCUACCAGUCAGUGUUCUGUCCUUUUCCUGAAAGGACAGGGGAAAAAAAAAAGUUCAAAGCUAAACCCUGAUUCCCAGAGAACUGCAGUUUCUUUAGCAAGACGAUUUCAUGCGCAAUUCGACUUGAAUGCCACCAUUAUGAACAAAAGAAUCUGCACACGGAUGCUUUUGACAAACAUGGCUUUAGAAAACCCGAGUCUGGGUGGUGCGGAGCAGCCUCUCCCCUCCCUGGAUGGACUCUGAAACAAAGCCAAGUGAUGGUAGAGUGGACCAGAGGAGUCAGUGGACCAUGGAGUCAGAGGGACCACAAUCAACACAUAAAAGAAACCAACGACAAGAAAGACUGGAUUAUCCUGCAAGAGCUGCAUGUGAGGGACAGAGCAUGUGGGUGAA
This is a long non-coding RNA of Mus musculus (house mouse), 754 nucleotides long. RefSeq annotates it as predicted gene, 54068. The transcript is spliced from 3 exons. NCBI's taxonomy places the organism in Eukaryota, Metazoa, Chordata, Mammalia, Rodentia, Muridae. The record is from RefSeq and is a predicted model, not a curated record.